Molecule: ribosomal RNA, 488 nt
Filed under: uncultured bacterium
Lineage: Bacteria
Description: partial 16S ribosomal RNA
Rfam family: Bacterial small subunit ribosomal RNA
Source: RNAcentral
AUUGAACGCUGGCGGCAGGCCUAACACAUGCAAGUCGAGCGGGGUUUUCGGACCUAGCGGCGGACGGGUGAGUAAUGCGUAGGAAGCUACCCGAUAGAGGGGGAUACCAGUUGGAAACGACUGUUAAUACCGCAUAAUGUCUACGGACCAAAGUGUGGGACCUUCGGGCCACAUGCUAUCGGAUGCGCCUACGUGGGAUUAGCUAGUUGGUGGGGUAAUGGCUCACCAAGGCGACGAUCCCUAGCUGGUUUGAGAGGAUGAUCAGCCACACUGGAACUGAGACACGGUCCAGACUCCUACGGGAGGCAGCAGUGGGGAAUAUUGGACAAUGGGCGCAAGCCUGAUCCAGCCAUGCCGCGUGUGUGAAGAAGGCCUUCGGGUUGUAAAGCACUUUCAGUAGGGAGGAAGGGUGUUGUGUUAAUAGCACAGCAUUUUGACGUUACCUACAGAAGAAGCACCGGCUAACUCUGUGCCAGCAGCCGCGGUAA